This 733-nucleotide ribosomal RNA is filed under the name Alteromonadales bacterium HOT1F3. RNAcentral's name for it is "bacterial SSU rRNA". It matches the Rfam family "Bacterial small subunit ribosomal RNA", at positions 93 to 828 of the family's 1533-position model. RNAcentral also lists the same sequence under 1 other name. Lineage: Bacteria; Pseudomonadati; Pseudomonadota; Gammaproteobacteria; Alteromonadales. The record is from RNAcentral.
GAGUGGCGGACGGGUGAGUAAUGCUUGGGAACUUGCCUUUGCGAGGGGGAUAACAGUUGGAAACGACUGCUAAUACCGCAUAAUGUCUUCGGACCAAACGGGGCUUCGGCUCCGGCGCAAAGAGAGGCCCAAGUGAGAUUAGCUAGUUGGUAAGGUAACGGCUUACCAAGGCGACGAUCUCUAGCUGUUCUGAGAGGAAGAUCAGCCACACUGGGACUGAGACACGGCCCAGACUCCUACGGGAGGCAGCAGUGGGGAAUAUUGCACAAUGGGGGAAACCCUGAUGCAGCCAUGCCGCGUGUGUGAAGAAGGCCUUCGGGUUGUAAAGCACUUUCAGUUGUGAGGAAAAGUUAGUAGUUAAUACCUGCUAGCCGUGACGUUAACAACAGAAGAAGCACCGGCUAACUCCGUGCCAGCAGCCGCGGUAAUACGGAGGGUGCGAGCGUUAAUCGGAAUUACUGGGCGUAAAGCGCACGCAGGCGGUUUGUUAAGCUAGAUGUGAAAGCCCCGGGCUCAACCUGGGAUGGUCAUUUAGAACUGGCAGACUAGAGUCUUGGAGAGGGGAGUGGAAUUCCAGGUGUAGCGGUGAAAUGCGUAGAUAUCUGGAGGAACAUCAGUGGCGAAGGCGACUCCNNGGCCAAAGACUGACGCUCAUGUGCGAAAGUGUGGGUAGCGAACAGGAUUAGAUACCCUGGUAGUCCACACCGUAAACGCUGUCUACUAGCUGUGUGUG